Molecule: unclassified non-coding RNA, 830 nt
Filed under: Hevea brasiliensis (rubber tree)
Lineage: Eukaryota; Viridiplantae; Streptophyta; Magnoliopsida; Malpighiales; Euphorbiaceae
Source: RNAcentral
GUACAAAUAGAACCAUGCAUAGACGUUCAUCACAAUUCACAAAUUCAAUUUGAAACUUCCAACACAUUCAUCACUAGGACUUGUAGGCUCAAAUGGUACCCUAAUCUACAUCUCCUAGAGAAGAUUGUGAAGGCCCUUGCCCGCCUUCUUCUAUUUUCUUCGCAGUCUCACCUCCUAAUCCAGACUGUGAAGACACUGGUGCACCUUCUUCCAACUUCUUCCAGCCAUCCCCAGCCUUGUUCUCUCCUAACCCCUGAGCCGUGUCAUAAGAUGCAUGCAAUCCUAAUAGGAAAUAAUACACCAACAAAACACCACUCCAGAUACCAAAUCUUACAAACGACGGCCCGUCUAUCGACCCUAGAAGGAAAAUGUUGAUAAGAAUCGAAGCAGAUGGCAACCAUGGCACCAGUGGAACACCCCACAUUUUCGGAGCCCUUGCCUGUGGAACAAAAACAUCAAGUGCUAAUGUACCCAAGAACCAUAUUGGUAUGGUAAUCACAUAUCCAAUCCAGCCAUCUACUCCUGCACCCCAAAUAGCAGCAGUAGCAGUAGAGGAACCAAGAAUCACCGAAAUGCAAACGAUGAGCUUGGUAUGAUUUGCAGAUGUCGUGACCCCAGUAACAUAGUAGCGGCGAACAAGAAGAGCCACCGCCACAAGCAUGAAGAUGAACAAUGUAGAGAUGGAGAGAAGAUUGGCGAGAAUAUCCAUCUUUGUAAAGAAAGCGACGAUAGCUGUAGCAGUGAUCAUAACAAUGGUGGCAUUUACUGGAGUUCCUGUUUUUCCAUUAACAUGAGCAAACCAUGGAGGCAUCAUGUGAGUACGAGCAAUG